RNAcentral lists this transfer RNA (91 nucleotides) under Alphaproteobacteria bacterium. Its description in RNAcentral is "tRNA-Ser". It matches the Rfam family "tRNA". Rfam says of the family: Transfer RNA (tRNA) molecules are approximately 80 nucleotides in length. Their secondary structure includes four short double-helical elements and three loops (D, anti-codon, and T loops). The record is from RNAcentral. RNAcentral also lists the same sequence under 1 other name. Lineage: Bacteria; Pseudomonadati; Pseudomonadota; Alphaproteobacteria.
GGAUAGAUGGCCGAGUGGUCGAAGGCGCACGAUUGGAAAUCGUGUGUACCCCCAAAGGGUACCGUGGGUUCGAAUCCCACUCUAUCCGCCA